AUCUGUCUGUGACAUCUAUCACCCCAUUGAUUGCCAGGGUUGAUUCAGCUGAUCUGGCUGUCUAGGCAGGUGUCCCCUU
RNAcentral lists this small nuclear RNA (79 nucleotides) under Canis lupus familiaris (dog). Its description in RNAcentral is "7SK RNA". It matches the Rfam family "7SK RNA", at positions 14 to 92 of the family's 331-position model. From Rfam's summary of the family: 7SK was discovered as an abundant small nuclear RNA in the mid-70s but a possible function has only recently been suggested. Two independent studies have found that 7SK RNA binds the CDK9/cyclin T complex (known as elongation factor P-TEFb). P-TEFb activates transcription by phosphorylating the C-terminal domain of RNA polymerase II. The record is from Rfam by way of RNAcentral. RNAcentral also lists the same sequence under 1 other name. Lineage: Eukaryota; Metazoa; Chordata; Mammalia; Carnivora; Canidae.